This 533-nucleotide ribosomal RNA is filed under the name uncultured bacterium. RNAcentral's name for it is "bacterial SSU rRNA". It matches the Rfam family "Bacterial small subunit ribosomal RNA", at positions 355 to 907 of the family's 1533-position model. The record is from RNAcentral.
UGGGGAAUCUUGGACAAUGGGGGCAACCCUGAUCCAGCCAUGCCGCGUGAGUGAUGAAGGCCUUAGGGUCGUAAAGCUCUUUCGCCUGUGAAGAUAAUGACGGUAGCCGGAGAAGAAGCCCCGGCUAACUCCGUGCCAGCAGCCGCGGUAAUACGGAGGGGGCUAGCGUUGUUCGGAAUUACUGGGCGUAAAGCGCGCGUAGGCGGACUGAUCAGUCAGGGGUGAAAUCCCGGGGCUCAACCCCGGAACUGCCUUUGAUACUGGUUGGCUAGAGUUCGGGAGAGGGUAGUGGAAUUCCCAGUGUAGAGGUGAAAUUCGUAGAUAUUUGGAGGAACACCAGUGGCGAAGGCGGCUCACUGGCUCGAUACUGACGCUGAGGUGCGAAAGUGUGGGGAGCAAACAGGAUUAGAUACCCUGGUAGUCCACACCGUAAACGAUGAAUGCCAGUCGUCGGGUAGCAUGCUAUUCGGUGACACACCUAACGGAUUAAGCAUUCCGCCUGGGGAGUACGGUCGCAGAUUAAAACUCAAAGG